GUCCCCCAAGGGCAGUACUGACCCUGGAACCCCCAUGGUUCAAUGUGCUCCGAGGGGACAAUGUGACUUUGACUUUUGAAGGACAUGAUUCUAUGGAUCAGAUCUCCCCAUCCACAAGGAAUCCUAUGCCAUCCCACCUGUCAACAUAAAGGACAGUGGGGGAUGUCAGCGUGGGACAGAACACACUGUUCUCAGCAACUCUAUGAAACUACAGGUCUCUCAUGACCGGCUGCUACUACAAGCAGAGAGAUCAGAAUUCAUGGAAGGUGACACUAUGAUCCUGAGGUACCACAGCUGGAAGAGCAAACGACUGCACAAAGUCACAUACGACUAUAAUGACAAAGCCUUAAAGUUUGACAAUCAGACUUUCAACUGUACUGUCUUUCAAGUGAACCAUGCUCAUAAUGGAUCCUACCAUGAAAUAUUGCCAUCUAUCCGAAACUAUAGUAAUCAGUGUCAAAGGAGGGAAGCUGAGCACUGUGAACAUGGUUAUGAUAACAUUCGUCCUGGCGGUUGCGAUUGCUGUAACUGCUGCUGCCGCCACCCUGUGUUACUACAAGCAACACAAGGAGCCAGCCAACACCCCCGAUGAGAGAGAAGUACUAAGGUGGGGAUUUCGGCAUCUUAUUCAUCUGUGAAGUACGCAGGUGUCAAGAUAUGGAGGCACCCAGUUUUCCAGAGCUAAGAACUGGGAAGUAAGCGGAGCCCUGACCUGGAAAUAACAACAGUCUUUUGUGCUCACCCUCCAGAUGAUCUCACCCUCUGGCAAAAUCACAUAAUUAUUGUAUUGCUUGGACCAGCAUCAGAUGUUCCCUGAGCUCAGACAAGUUGUAAUCCUGAAGCCCUACUAUGAAGCAAACUUGUCACAUUGUUAUUGUUACCCCUCUUUGCCAGGGAUACAACUGCCUGCACAGCCACUGGUAUAAAGUGUUGAGAUUUGGCCACUAAAGCAGGUUCCCCCAGCCCUCCCCCCCACCCCCGUAGAGGUGGGGCCCCAGGCACUUGUGUGCUUGCUUGGAAGACAUUUCCCUCACUUUGAAAUUAAACUUCUAUUUGACUCCUGACUCUCCUGUCUCUAGCCUGCUCUGUUUGGCUCUGACAACUCAAGAGUUAGAGUCUAGUUCUGUCCCGUUAACACAGGUAAUCCUGCGGAAGAAGCAUCAGGACACUCAACUUAUCAGAAUCACUAAUAGUCAUGACCACCUCUAUCCCUCCAACAGUGGCCCUAACCUGCUUGUUCCCACAAGCACUGGGUGGAGGAACUUGGUGGAGCUAAGCCUGGACACCAGCUGCUUCCUGAGCCAACUUUGUCAUUCCAUGAAAAUGGAUUUGAACAUCUCUUUUGCAGUUGUCUGCAUGAAUCCUAAACUGCUUUUAAAAACUUGAAGGUAGUUGACUGCCUGUCUGUGCUGCCAACAUCUACCCAAUCCAAAUGACUUUCUACCUUGAAUCAUCACUCUUUCACGGUACUUUGGUUUUGUUAUUAUUAUUAUUAUAUUAUUGUCAUUAUUAAGGCAGUUGGG
Molecule: long non-coding RNA, 1523 nt
Filed under: Phascolarctos cinereus (koala)
Lineage: Eukaryota; Metazoa; Chordata; Mammalia; Diprotodontia; Phascolarctidae
Description: lncRNA (ENSPCIG00000012172.2)
Source: RNAcentral